RNAcentral lists this long non-coding RNA (640 nucleotides) under Brassica rapa (field mustard). Its description in RNAcentral is "long non-coding RNA (BRAP_LNC006126)". Lineage: Eukaryota; Viridiplantae; Streptophyta; Magnoliopsida; Brassicales; Brassicaceae. The record is from RNAcentral.
UUGUUCUGGUUCUUCUCUGGGAGAUUCUGCAUUGUUUUGCCAUUCACUUUCUGAAGAAAAUCUCUAUGGCACAUCCUGGCUCUUCUAAGGGCCGGCUUAAUACGGGAAGCCAAGUUUGCUUUGUUCAUCUGCAGCAGAGUUAAGAUUCUAUACAAUAAAUAUUCCCACAAUACCAAUAAUAACUUGCAUUAGAAAACUUCAUGUAGUGAUCUUUCCCUCAAGCACAUAGAAACAUACCCUUAGAACAUGACUGAUCUCGAAGGAGAUCAUACAUUUGUUGGUCAUGAGUUGUUUUGCUUGGAAAAGACAAAGGCAAAAGAGAGCCAAACAUACCCUCACUCUUAAGUAUGAGUUCUUCAUCCCAAAAAAAGAGAGAUAUUCUUCGGCGUACGUCCUUAGGCAAUGAGGAACCUUUAUAAAACUUAACAGUUUCUUCUUCUGUGCGUGUUCCCAAAGAAAGAAUAGACAUAACAAAAGAGAUUGUUAAGGCAAAAAAGUUGUAUUCACCUGAUGACCCAACUUGAGCCUGACACUCACUAAGAUCCCUUUAUAAAUUCCAAUAACAUCACCCUUACGGCAACAAAGAAGGCGUAUUUCUCUUUAUCAGCAACAGGAACAACGGUUGACAUAUAUUUGAUUU